This 250-nucleotide ribosomal RNA is filed under the name uncultured prokaryote. Its description in RNAcentral is "partial 16S ribosomal RNA". It matches the Rfam family "Bacterial small subunit ribosomal RNA", at positions 524 to 773 of the family's 1533-position model. The record is from RNAcentral.
UACGUAGGGGGCGAGCGUUGUCCGGAAUGAUUGGGCGUAAAGGGCGCAUAGGCGGCCCUGUAAGUCUGGAGAGAAAGUCCCGUUUUCAAGAUGGGAAUUGCUUUGGAUACUGUAGGGCUUGAGUGCAGGAGAGGUUACUGGAAUUCCCAGUGUAGCGGUGAAAUGCGUAGAGAUUGGGAGGAACACCAGUGGCGAAGGCGAGUAACUGGACUGUAACUGACGCUGAGGCGCGAAAGUGUGGGGAGCAAAC